CUUCUCCGGAUGAGUUGCGAACGGGUGAGUAACGCGUAGGUAACCUGCCUGGUAGCGGGGGAUAACUAUUGGAAACGAUAGCUAAUACCGCAUAAGAGUAGAUGUUGCAUGACAUUUGCUUAAAAGGUGCAAUUGCAUCACUACCAGAUGGACCUGCGUUGUAUUAGCUAGUUGGUGGGGUAACGGCUCACCAAGGCGACGAUACAUAGCCGACCUGAGAGGGUGAUCGGCCACACUGGGACUGAGACACGGCCCAGACUCC
RNAcentral lists this ribosomal RNA (262 nucleotides) under uncultured Streptococcus sp. RNAcentral's name for it is "partial 16S ribosomal RNA". It matches the Rfam family "Bacterial small subunit ribosomal RNA", at positions 82 to 339 of the family's 1533-position model. Lineage: Bacteria; Bacillati; Bacillota; Bacilli; Lactobacillales; Streptococcaceae. The record is from RNAcentral.